AUACCUACCUGACUAGGGUAGGUGGUUUUCCCAGGGUGAGGCAUGUCCAUUGCACUUGGAGUAGGAUGAUCCUUGCAAUUUUCUCCAAAUGUGGGAUAUUCCACUUCAUAAUGUGUGGUCAUGGGGGUGGAGACUGUAUUCACACUCUGC
RNAcentral lists this small nuclear RNA (150 nucleotides) under Dipodomys ordii (Ord's kangaroo rat). RNAcentral describes it as "U1 spliceosomal RNA (ENSDORG00000022259.2)". It matches the Rfam family "U1 spliceosomal RNA". From Rfam's summary of the family: U1 is a small nuclear RNA (snRNA) component of the spliceosome (involved in pre-mRNA splicing). Its 5' end forms complementary base pairs with the 5' splice junction, thus defining the 5' donor site of an intron. Lineage: Eukaryota; Metazoa; Chordata; Mammalia; Rodentia; Heteromyidae. The record is from RNAcentral.